This 306-nucleotide ribosomal RNA is filed under the name Triticum aestivum (bread wheat). Its description in RNAcentral is "partial small subunit ribosomal RNA". The record is from RNAcentral. Lineage: Eukaryota; Viridiplantae; Streptophyta; Magnoliopsida; Poales; Poaceae.
AUGGCUUCCUCGCGUGCGGCUGCGAUCGUCUUCUCGUUCCUGGUCUUGGCGGUGGCGGCGCCCUCGCCUCUCGUCAGAGCCAGAAUGAUGCCGGGCGAUGGCGACGCAGUGCCCACCGGACGGAUCGCGGCGCCCGAGGUUGACGGGUCAGUCGGAGCAGCGUCGUCUCUGCAAGAAGCGCUCGUUCAGAGGCCCCCGCUGCCGCUGCCGCUGGCCCAGCUGAUGUCGCCGCCGACGAUGGCCGUCUUCGCGCAGCGCAGCAGUAGGAUGCUCGGAUCGGUGCCGAGCCCGGGCGUUGGCCACUAG